AUGGAGAAUCUAUCUCAGGUUUAAACACUUAUCCAAUUGAGGCAUCACUUGCGAUAGCCUUUCUAUUUGAAUUAUGUGUUACUGGCAAUUUUUUACAUAUUCUGAAGUCAGAAGAGAUGCCAAAUGCAUCUCAUUCUGGGCAUGUGUGUGUGAGAGGGCUGAAAUUGACGUAUCACACCUUGAAGAGUCCUUCUGUUUAAAGACUCUCAGAUAAGUGAUA
RNAcentral lists this long non-coding RNA (220 nucleotides) under Elaeis guineensis (African oil palm). RNAcentral's name for it is "long non-coding RNA (EGUI_LNC061328)". The record is from RNAcentral. Lineage: Eukaryota; Viridiplantae; Streptophyta; Magnoliopsida; Arecales; Arecaceae.